AUGGUGCAAGCGUUAUCCGGAUUUACUGGGUGUAAAGGGAGAGUAGGUGGCAUGGCAAGUCAGAAGUGAAAGCCCGGGGCUCAACCCCGGGACUGCUUUUGAAACUGUCAGGCUGGAGUGCAGGAGAGGUAAGUGGAAUUCCUAGUGUAGCGGUGAAAUGCGUAGAUAUUAGGAGGAACACCAGUGGCGAAGGCGGCUUACUGGACUGUAACUGACACUGAGGCUCGAAAGCGUGGGGAGCAA
This 243-nucleotide ribosomal RNA is filed under the name uncultured bacterium. RNAcentral describes it as "partial 16S ribosomal RNA". It matches the Rfam family "Bacterial small subunit ribosomal RNA", at positions 529 to 771 of the family's 1533-position model. The record is from RNAcentral.